RNAcentral lists this small nucleolar RNA (157 nucleotides) under Oryza meridionalis. RNAcentral's name for it is "snoRNA snoZ178". It matches the Rfam family "Small nucleolar RNA Z178". Rfam says of the family: Z178 is a member of the C/D class of snoRNA which contain the C (UGAUGA) and D (CUGA) box motifs. Lineage: Eukaryota; Viridiplantae; Streptophyta; Magnoliopsida; Poales; Poaceae. The record is from Rfam by way of RNAcentral.
GGAGGAGACUGAUGAUGGAACCGUCUGAUACGCCGCCCCCCGCCGGCGCCGACGGUGCCUCCAAGGUCGUCGUCACUCCUGCUCAUCUCUCUCCGCGUAGUCAUCUACCUCUCUCUGUCACUCACUCGCUCACUCACUCUUGCGCCUGAUUUGCUUC